RNAcentral lists this ribosomal RNA (301 nucleotides) under uncultured bacterium. RNAcentral's name for it is "partial 16S ribosomal RNA". It matches the Rfam family "Bacterial small subunit ribosomal RNA", at positions 509 to 809 of the family's 1533-position model. The record is from RNAcentral.
CAGUAGCCGCGGGAAUACGUAGGUGGCAAGCGUUGUCCGGAUUUAUUGGGCGUAAAGCGAGCGCAGGCGGUUUCUUAAGUCUGAUGUGAAAGCCCCCGGCUCAACCGGGGAGGGUCAUUGGAAACUGGGAAACUUGAGUGCAGAAGAGGAGAGUGGAAUUCCAUGUGUAGCGGUGAAAUGCGUAGAUAUAUGGAGGAACACCAGUGGCGAAGGCGGCUCUCUGGUCUGUAACUGACGCUGAGGCUCGAAAGCGUGGGGAGCAAACAGGAUUAGAUACCCCAGUAGUCCCUGUCUCUUAUAU